GCCUUCGUGGUGUAAUGGUCAGCACACUGAGCCGAUAUUUCAGAGGUCCUCGGUUCGAUUCCCGGCGAAGGCG
This is a non-coding RNA of Stegodyphus mimosarum, 73 nucleotides long. NCBI's taxonomy places the organism in Eukaryota, Metazoa, Arthropoda, Arachnida, Araneae, Eresidae. The record is from Rfam.